RNAcentral lists this ribosomal RNA (525 nucleotides) under uncultured bacterium. Its description in RNAcentral is "bacterial SSU rRNA". It matches the Rfam family "Bacterial small subunit ribosomal RNA", at positions 28 to 526 of the family's 1533-position model. The record is from RNAcentral.
GACGAACGCUGGCGGCGUGCCUAAUACAUGCAAGUCGGACGCAUCGUCUUCACCGGAGCUUGCUCCACCGAAGACGAUGAGUGGCGAACGGGUGAGUAACACGUGGGCAACCUGCCCACCAGAGGGGGACAACACUUGGAAACAGGUGCUAAUACCGCAUAACAGCCCUUCCCGCAUGGGAAGGACUUGAAAGGUGCUUUCGGGCACCGCUGGUGGAUGGGCCCGCGGUGCAUUAGCUAGUUGGCGGGGCAGCGGCCCACCAAGGCGACGAUGCAUAGCCGACCUGAGAGGGUGAUCGGCCACAUUGGGACUGAGACACGGCCCAAACUCCUACGGGAGGCAGCAGUAGGGAAUCUUCGGCAAUGGACGGAAGUCUGACCGAGCAACGCCGCGUGAGUGAAGAAGGUUUUCGGAUCGUAAAACUCUGUUGUCAGAGAAGAACGGGAGGGAGAGGCAAUGCUCUCUCCGUGACGGUAUCUGACCAGAAAGCCACGGCUAACUACGUGCCAGCAGCCGCGGUAACAC